GGCCCAUUAGCUCAGUUGGUUAGAGCGUCGUGCUAAUAACGCGAAGGUCACAGGUUCGAUACCUGCAUGGGCCA
Molecule: transfer RNA, 74 nt
Filed under: Nicotiana attenuata
Lineage: Eukaryota; Viridiplantae; Streptophyta; Magnoliopsida; Solanales; Solanaceae
Description: tRNA tRNA-Ile
Rfam family: tRNA
About the family: Transfer RNA (tRNA) molecules are approximately 80 nucleotides in length. Their secondary structure includes four short double-helical elements and three loops (D, anti-codon, and T loops). Further hydrogen bonds mediate the characteristic L-shaped molecular structure. tRNAs have two regions of fundamental functional importance: the anti-codon, which is responsible for specific mRNA codon recognition, and the 3' end, to which the tRNAs corresponding amino acid is attached (by aminoacyl-tRNA synthetases). tRNAs cope with the degeneracy of the genetic code in two manners: having more than one tRNA (with a specific anti-codon) for a particular amino acid; and 'wobble' base-pairing, i.e. permitting non-standard base-pairing at the 3rd anti-codon position.
Source: Rfam by way of RNAcentral